GGGUGCUGGUAGGGAAGACAGGAAGGGGACAGCGAAGCACGGAGAGAUCUGAGCCUGUGCAGUUGCGGCCCGCACUGAAACCUGUUACCAUCGGCUGUCGCCUCCAUUGUGGGCUGGGAACCCAGGAAGGAAACACUCCACAGUGUUCUUAGGCGUCCCCCACGUCCCCUGGAGAAGCACAAAAGAGCACAGGCCUUAAGUCUUCUUCCCCUUUGACAGAUCCAGAAGGGACCAUUAGAUCAUCUUGUCUGUGUAUCAUACACGAGUACAUUUUACCCAGUCAUCCGAGCCCAGUCACCUGUGUUUGGCGAACACAUCCUCCAGGAAGGCAGACAGGCUGGAUUUGAAGAGGGCCAGUGAUGGAGACUCCUCUUCAGGGCACCUUUAAAGAAAGCCAUGAAAAAGCAUUCCACCCAACUCUCCAACUUUAGGCUCCCUGAAGCCAACCCUGUAAGCUGUGUCGUCAGUCGCCCCUCUCUCCGUCAGAGCAA
Long non-coding RNA from Chelonia mydas (Green sea turtle), 491 nucleotides. RefSeq lists it as uncharacterized. The transcript is spliced from 3 exons. Lineage: Eukaryota; Metazoa; Chordata; Testudines; Cheloniidae. The record is from RefSeq and is a predicted model, not a curated record.